UCGCUCCACCCACAGGUGCAACCUGUCACCUUAACGGGUUUCCCCAGCUCCACCCGUCUCCAACCUGCAAACAAGAACAUAGAGAAGGUCCAAGGAGCCACAGUGCGUGACUAAAGAAAUGAUGCCAGCUGGUCUGCCCUCUCAUUGCCACGUACACCUACAUGCGAGUUGAAGCUGACCUCCCUGAUGAUUCCUCCUUGGAGCUGACUGGAGGACAUGGUGCAGUAGACCUUGCUGGCUAUUUGAAGGACACGACCUCAUACGCAUCAGGGCUGAAGAUGAAUCGGAGCAGAUCGACACAUGUUCCUGCUGUGUUUCUUCCACCCGUCGCAGUGCAAUCCUUACUGCCAACAUCUCCACUGUGUGGAGCCCCAGAUCAUUAGAUGUUCUCCUGUUGAUAGCCAUCCCUUGACUUGGUAAAGACGCCCCACACCCUGUCUGAGGUUCUUUGGCACCAUGUGUGUAAAGCUGUGUGUAGUUCCUGUUCUCUUUCAUAACAGACCUUUAAAAUGUACCAGACAAACCCCCCUCCAUUUGUUUCUUCUUUUGACCUGCAGCAAAAGAUUUUUAAUUAACUGUUGGGACUAGUUUCAUUUAAAAAGACGUCAUUUCUCUUCUCAUAUUUAUUUGUUUUAGUCAUUUUAUUAAGCAGCAAAUCCAGAAGUUGGAUGUGGAGCAGGCAGUUAGAGGGUUAAUCAGAAUAAAACCAGAGGUUUUCAGAAUCAAAAGGAUUAAACAAUGAUUAAAAUAAGUUUUAGUAAAAAGGUUGAACAAGAGGAACCUUUGAAGGGCACUUUGAAGGAGACACGUGUCUGGAUUGAGACGCGGCCAAACCUUUGGAGUCGUGAAGGAGACGAAUGUUCAGAAUGGAACGCAGCCGAACAAAAGCCUUUGAAGGUUUAAUGAUGUUGGACUGAAGGGGGGGGGGGGUCAGCAGGUGCUAGAUGAUUAAGAUGAAGCUGUUUGUCUGUCGUGUUUCUCAUCAAUCAAUCAAUGGACUUGUUCUCUUUCAUCAUGUUGUUGAUCCGAUCUGCUCUCAUCCAGACGCUCCGGUGUACAAACCCACUGACUUCUAACGCCAUCCGCUGUGUAUUAUAGGAAAUAAAAAGCAUUUUCACUAAUGAAAAACUCUAAAACUAGGAUUCUCUCCAUAAUGUUUCCAAAUAAAGUCUCUUUUUUUCCAA
Long non-coding RNA from Pungitius pungitius (ninespine stickleback), 1184 nucleotides. RefSeq lists it as uncharacterized. The record is from RefSeq and is a predicted model, not a curated record. Lineage: Eukaryota; Metazoa; Chordata; Actinopteri; Perciformes; Gasterosteidae. The transcript has 2 exons.